RNAcentral lists this ribosomal RNA (254 nucleotides) under uncultured bacterium. RNAcentral's name for it is "partial 16S ribosomal RNA". It matches the Rfam family "Archaeal small subunit ribosomal RNA", at positions 474 to 727 of the family's 1478-position model. The record is from RNAcentral.
UACCAGCACCCCCGAGUGGUCGGGACGUUUAUUGGGCCUAAAGCAUCCGUAGCCGGUUCUACAAGUCUUCCGUUAAAUCCAACUGCUUAACAGGUGGGCUGCGGAAGAUACUAUAGAGCUAGGAGGCGGGAGAGGCAAGCGGUACUCGAUGGGUAGGGGUAAAAUCCGUUGAUCCAUUGAAGACCACCAGUGGCGAAGGCGGCUUGCCAGAAUGCGCUCGACGGUGAGGGAUGAAAGCUGGGGGAGCAAACCGG